GACGAACGCUGGCGGCGUGCUUAACACAUGCAAGUCGAACGGAAAGACCCUGCUUUUGUGGGGUGCUCGAGUGGCGAACGGGUGAGUAACACGUGAGUAACCUGCCCUUGACUUUGGGAUAACUUCAGGAAACUGGGGCUAAUACCGGAUAGGAGCUCCUGCUGCAUGGUGGGGGUUGGAAAGUUUCGGCGGUUGGGGAUGGACUCGCGGCUUAUCAGCUUGUUGGUGGGGUAGUGGCUUACCAAGGCUUUGACGGGUAGCCGGCCUGAGAGGGUGACCGGCCACAUUGGGACUGAGAUACGGCCCAGACUCCUACGGGAGGCAGCAGUGGGGAAUAUUGCACAAUGGGCGGAAGCCUGAUGCAGCAACGCCGCGUGCGGGAUGACGGCCUUCGGGUUGUAAACCGCCUUCGCCUGUGACGAAGCGUGAGUGACGGUAAUGGGUAAAGAAGCACCGGCUAACUACGUG
Molecule: ribosomal RNA, 468 nt
Filed under: uncultured bacterium
Lineage: Bacteria
Description: partial 16S ribosomal RNA
Rfam family: Bacterial small subunit ribosomal RNA
Source: RNAcentral